This is a non-coding RNA of Xenopus tropicalis (tropical clawed frog), 278 nucleotides long. NCBI's taxonomy places the organism in Eukaryota, Metazoa, Chordata, Amphibia, Anura, Pipidae. The record is from Ensembl.
AGUCAGUGAUGACUUGUAAAAGGUCUGAUUGCAUUGUGCUUCCCCAACACACCACAUCGUCUCCCAGCAGUCCAUAUUUUCCCUCCCAUCCUGGUCUAGCUAUGCAGUGAUGGCCAAUAGGAUUGCUGAAAUUUAAGGAUAACCCACAAUACCAAGUCUUUCUUAGAAUCCAGAGCUAUGGUAGGAUUGGGUAUCCAACACCUACAGUGUAAAGGAGAAUAAGGUGUACGGUUUGAAGCUAUAUUCUUUGCAUGAUAUCUAGUUUUCAAUCUGAGACU